UGUAUAGACUUCAGGAAGGAUUUGUAUUGUUUCAGGAAACCCUUCCUGCAGAUUCAACCUUAUGUGUGUUUUCUCCAUAUAUCUCGAUCUCCGACGAAAACCCAUCUCCAGAACUCUCUCUCUCUCGAUCUUUUACGCGAGCUCUCUCUAUUCUCCGAGAAAAACCAUUUCUAGAGCUCUAUCUCUUUAAGGUAUGUUGCAGAUUCAACCUUAUGUGUGUUUUCUUUCUGAGAGAUUGGUCUCCUGGUUUUUGCUUGUGUAUAGACUUGCUCGUUUUAACCUAAUAUGAUUGGUAGAAUUCUAGUUCAUGUGAAAGCAUGUGUAUAGACUUCAGGAAGGAUUUGUAUUGUUUCAGGAAACCCUUCUUGCAGAUUCAACCUUAUGUGUGUUUUCUUUCUGAGAGGUUGGUCUCCUGGUUUUUGCUUGUGUAUAGACUUGCUCGUUUUAACCUAAUAUGAUUGGUAGAAUUCUAGUUCAUGUGAAAGCAUGUGUAUAGACUUCAGGAAGGAUUUGUAUUGUUUCAGGAAACCCUUCCUGUAGAUUCAACCUUAUGUGUGUUUUCUUUCUGAGAGAUUGGUCUCCUGGUUUUUGCUUGUGUAUUGACUUGCUCGUUUUAACCUAAUAUGAUUGGUAGAAUUCUAGUUCAUGUGAAAGCAUGUGUACAGACUUCAGGAAGGAUUUGUAUUGUUUCAGGAAACCCUUCCUGAAACAAGAUGGGAGAUCCAUUACCAUUAAGACUAGCACUGCCUGAGCUGAGAUAUCCGAUUGGAUCAGAGCCAGAGAAGACAAUAUCGAUAAACCAACACUCGAUAGUUGCUUAUAUCAAAACUGUUA
RNAcentral lists this long non-coding RNA (834 nucleotides) under Brassica napus (rape). Its description in RNAcentral is "long non-coding RNA (BNAP_LNC023543)". The record is from RNAcentral. Lineage: Eukaryota; Viridiplantae; Streptophyta; Magnoliopsida; Brassicales; Brassicaceae.